UACGAAGGGGGCUAGCGUUGUUCGGAAUUACUGGGCGUAAAGCGCACGUAGGCGGGUAUUUAAGUCAGGGGUGAAAUCCCAGAGCUCAACUCUGGAACUGCCUUUGAUACUGGGGUACCUAGAGUAUGGAAGAGGUGAGUGGAAUUCCGAGUGUAGAGGUGAAAUUCGUAGAUAUUCGGAGGAACACCAGUGGCGAAGGCGGCUCACUGGUCCAUUACUGACGCUGAGGUGCGAAAAGCGUGGGG
This 245-nucleotide ribosomal RNA is filed under the name uncultured bacterium. RNAcentral describes it as "partial 16S ribosomal RNA". It matches the Rfam family "Bacterial small subunit ribosomal RNA", at positions 524 to 766 of the family's 1533-position model. The record is from RNAcentral.